RNAcentral lists this non-coding RNA (30 nucleotides) under Rattus norvegicus (Norway rat). Lineage: Eukaryota; Metazoa; Chordata; Mammalia; Rodentia; Muridae. The record is from RNAcentral.
UAUUAUGAUAAUAUUAGGUGAAACAUUUGA